AUUGAACGCUGGCGGCAUGCCUUACACAUGCAAGUCGAACGGCAGCACGGGUGCUUGCACCUGGUGGCGAGUGGCGAACGGGUGAGUAAUACAUCGGAACAUGUCCUGUAGUGGGGGAUAGCCCGGCGAAAGCCGGAUUAAUACCGCAUACGAUCUACGGAUGAAAGCGGGGGACCUUCGGGCCUCGCGCUAUAGGGUUGGCCGAUGGCUGAUUAGCUAGUUGGUGGGGUAAAGGCCUACCAAGGCGACGAUCAGUAGCUGGUCUGAGAGGACGACCAGCCACACUGGGACUGAGACACGGCCCAGACUCCUACGGGAGGCAGCAGUGGGGAAUUUUGGACAAUGGGCGAAAGCCUGAUCCAGCAAUGCCGCGUGUGUGAAGAAGGCCUUCGGGUUGUAAAGCACUUUUGUCCGGAAAGAAAUCCUUGGCUCUAAUACAGUCGGGGGAUGACGGUACCGGAAGAAUAAGCACCGGCUAACUACGUGCCAGCAGCCGCGGUAAUACGUAGGGUGCGAGCGUUAAUCGGAAUUACUGGGCGUAAAGCGUGCGCAGGCGGUUUGCUAAGACCGAUGUGAAAUCCCCGGGCUCAACCUGGGAACUGCAUUGGUGACUGGCAGGCUAGAGUAUGGCAGAGGGGGGUAGAAUUCCACGUGUAGCAGUGAAAUGCGUAGAGAUGUGGAGGAAUCCCGAUGGCGAAGGCAGCCCCCUGGGCCAAUACUGACGCUCAUGCACGAAAGCGUGNGGAGCAAACAGG
Molecule: ribosomal RNA, 755 nt
Filed under: uncultured Burkholderia sp.
Lineage: Bacteria; Pseudomonadati; Pseudomonadota; Betaproteobacteria; Burkholderiales; Burkholderiaceae
Description: bacterial SSU rRNA
Rfam family: Bacterial small subunit ribosomal RNA
Source: RNAcentral